CCGACGGGUGAGUAACACGUAUGCAAUCCACCUGUAACAGGGGGAGUAACCCGGAGAAAUCCGGACUAAUACCCCAUAAUAUGGGCGCUCCGCAUGGAGAGCCCAUUAAAGAGAGCAAUCUUGGUUACAGACGAGCAUGCGCUCCAUUAGCCAGUUGGCGGGGUAACGGCCCACCAAGGCGACGAUGGAUAGGGGUUCUGAGAGGAAGGUCCCCCACAUUGGAACUGAGACACGGUCCAA
RNAcentral lists this ribosomal RNA (240 nucleotides) under uncultured bacterium. RNAcentral describes it as "partial 16S ribosomal RNA". It matches the Rfam family "Bacterial small subunit ribosomal RNA", at positions 102 to 334 of the family's 1533-position model. The record is from RNAcentral.